GUAUCCCCCAACACAUAAAAUUAAGGAUGCAAUUGUUUCAUGGUGACAGUUUGGAGUCUUCCAUGAUUCCUCGAAGGACACAUAUGCUUGGCUAGCUAGCAGUCUAAUAAGGCAUGGUCCAUCUUUUCCCUAAGAAAGAGCCAAUAGGAUUGUGCAUGAAGAGAUAGAGGUUUCAUGGACGUAUAAGGGGUGAAAAAGGAGAGGAGACAGAAUCAUCAAGCAAGGAGAUGGGGCUGCGGAAAUGCUCCUUGAAACCAACUUGAGUUGAGCUCAUCCAAUGCAAAAAGGGCUCAUUAGGCAGAUUGUGAAGUGCGAUGGAUGUCGAAAGACAGAAGAAGGAAGAAAACAGGAUAAAGAGUCACUGGUCUUGUUUGUCUUCAUUACAAAAAGUGGUCACAGGUUUCACUUGACUCCAAAACUUUCACCAUACAUAACAGCAAAUUUUUCCCCAGCCCCACAUGUAUAAAAGAAACCUUUUCUCCUAGCCAUAUCCAGAUACAUUGUUACACAAACUCCUCUGACCUUACACAUUUAUAACGCAUUCAUUUUUGUCACUACAGGGAGUUUUAUGAAUUGCCUAGAGACUGGGGAAUACAUCUAAGAUAAUAACCAUAAUGUUCUCUGAAUUAUCGGAAUUAACUUCAAAUAUUCAUGUUAUUAAUAACCUUAUGAAUUUUUGGUUCCAAUCUAGUAAUUUGUACAUCUUAUAAUUAUUCUUGUGUAUCUUUCAGGAAAAGGGAAAAAAAAAAGAACUCUUGCAAGUUGUGGAGUAACUUUUUUUAGCAGAAAGUUAUGGAUCGAGUAACUGAUGUCAUUUGUUUUUUCUUUUGGGAAAUAAUCAAUGUUAUUUUGUUGUUGGUGUUUUUAAGCUUACCUACUCACUUCUGCAGAAAUACACAAGUACCUUUUUAUUUUGGUAGAAAGUUAUCUUUAAUUACAUCCUUUAAACUUUCAUGGCAUUUUAAUCUCCCGCAUUCACAAUCAUUUUCAUCCUUUUUUAUGAUUGUGUAGAUGAAGCCUAAUAAAAGAUAACUUUGAGCAUGAUUUUAAACCAAUUCUAGACAUGUCUCAAAAGCUUUGAGAGAUGUGAUGCAAGAAAAAAUCCUUUGGCCUUCAAUUAAAAAAAAAAAAGAAGAAAAAAAAUAAUUUGACAAGUAUUUUGCAAGGGAUCUAGGCUUAUUUUCAUUCUUUCCAUGGUUAAGAAAUAAGUACAGAGAGGACAUACAGACAUACUUAUAUUUGCAUGUGAGCAUGUAUGUAUGUAUACAUGCAUGAUAUAUGCAUACAUAUACAUACAUACUUCCAUGUGCAUGCGCGCGCGUGUGUGAUACUUUGAAUGAAGAUGCUAAAUGUUAAUUUUCAUGUAGAUAGUGACAUGUUCAAAUGCCUAAAUGUGAUACACCAAUGAGUCUGUAGAUUAUAGUUUUUUUUUUCUGUUGAUUAUUAUUAUUAUUUUUUCUGAUAUAAGGGAGGCUUAGCCACCCAAAUCGGUGGGAAUGGAUGUAGACGUAGUUAUAUCUAUGGUUUGUGGGCCCAUACAUGGAGAAUGGAAGUUCAUAUGGAAAGAUACAGUUAAAAAUACUAGCAGAGUUGCAGGUUUGUAAAUCAUGAGUUGAAAGAGUAGCAGCAGUCAAAAAGCAGGAAGAAAAACAGAAAAAUAUAUACUUGUAGAAAUGCCAAGACUUCAAGACUAGAAGGGCAGAGACAUUCAGAGAGCCAAUCAACUCUAAGAUGCCACCGUCAAGCUGUCCUCAGCUUGGAAAGUCUCUUUCACAUCUUUUAACGCUGCAUGCAACCCUCCAUCCAUGUAGGCCCUCACCACUGAGGUCAUGAUAUCUUUAUACUAACCCUCCAUCUUUCCUUCUCUUCUCUUCUUUUCCCUUCUUCUCCCCUCUUUUCAGAGAAUAGAAAAAAAUAGUGUGACUAGUAGUUGUCUAAUAUCAAUCACAAUUAAUAGUAACUCGUCCUCCAAAUUAUCUUCUCCACCACUUGCACCAAUCCAUUUGAUAGCCACCACUUGUAAGCAAGUAUAGGAAGGGUAUAGGUUGAGGGUGAAGAGACUGAUGAUUCUAGUGUCCUUCAUUUUAUGGCAAUUCCAGCAGCGAUGAGCGGCGAAGAUGAAAAGGAUGAGCACGAGCACGACCUAGUGAUGCCGGGCUUUCGCUUCCACCCCACCGAGGAGGAGAUCAUUGAGUUCUACCUCCGCCGUAAGGUUGAGGGGAAGCACUUCAAUGUAGAACUUAUCACCUUCCUCGACCUCUACCGCUAUGACCCAUGGGAGCUUCCUGAAGUGUUCUUCUUUUCAGCACUGGCUGCAAUUGGAGAGAAGGAAUGGUUCUUUUAUGUUCCUAGAGAUCGAAAGUAUCGGAAUGGUGAUAGGCCAAACCGGGUGACAAUCUCAGGCUACUGGAAGGCUACUGGGGCUGACCGGAUGAUUCGGUCGGAGAAUUCGAGACCCAUCGGGCUGAAGAAAACUCUCGUCUUCUACUCCGGGAAGGCACCCAAAGGCAUUCGAUCAAGCUGGAUCAUGCAUGAGUACCGUUUGCCGCAGAGUGAAACUGAUCGGUAUCACAAGACUGAAAUCUCACUUUGCCGAGUCUACAAGAGAGGUGGGAUUGAAGACCAUCUCCCCGUCAUGCACAAGCCAUCCUCCAAACCUACCAGACCUGAUAAAAAGUACAAGAGAUUUUACCAACCAUCAUCCUUGUUCACGGCACUCGCAGGAGAUUCCUCCUCAUCAGAGAUAGAGAAGAUCCAUGAAGGAGGAGUUUACAGCAGCACAAACAACAUAUCAGUUUACAGUGCAAUACCUCCAGUAUCCAACAUGACAGCUCUACUCAAAGAAGAUGGGACUUCACUGAACUCAUCAAAUACGCUGAUACCAACAAGCACACUCCUCCCUUCAGCUACUUCUUCUAUGGCCAUCGCCGAUGAGUUCAAUAAAAUGGUAGGCUGCCACCAAGGCUACUUCAACCAAACCAGUCAGUUCAUAACAAUGCCCUCGCAGCCCCAGCUGCUUCCCCUCGAUGGGCUGCCCAUGUCAUUGGCAACCAUUUCAGACAAUCUUUGGGAAUGGAAUCAAAUCCAUGAGGCUGGAAAAGACCUCACUAGUUUCAAGUGAUUGACAGCAUUGCACCUAGACAUAGUCCAUCUACUAUUGGUAUUUUUCUUUUGUUUUUAGGAGAUCCAUGGCAUAAGAUUGAGAUCUUUUGUAUGUAUCUUUCUUUAUUGAUUUUCCACUUUUAGACGUCCAAUAAUAGUAUCAGAAGACUUGCAGAGAGAGCUGCUCAGAGAUUUGGACAUGGGAUGCGAGUACCAUUGCAGGCAUGUGAUCGCUAUGUUGUCUUUUCUUUGGGCGGUGGAAACAAUAACGAACCCAUGGUAAGCAUUCUGUUUAUUGUUCCAUUAUUGCGGUCAUAAGGAAUGGAGUCUUUGUUGUUGUUGUUGUUGUUCCUAUUUUUUUUUUUUUUGUGAUAUAAGGAAUAGAGUCUUGUUGGAAGCUGGAAAGGGCUGAGGUUUCAGGUAUCUUUAAAGUUGCCCUCAUGGUGAUGCUUAAUGCUUAAUCCACCUAAUUUGUUUCAAUUCAUUAUAGGUGGAGUUACAUUAAAUGCUUAAUAAAAUGGUCAGAUUUAAAUCUA
This is a non-coding RNA of Elaeis guineensis (African oil palm), 3638 nucleotides long. The record is from RefSeq and is a predicted model, not a curated record. Lineage: Eukaryota; Viridiplantae; Streptophyta; Magnoliopsida; Arecales; Arecaceae.